RNAcentral lists this ribosomal RNA (1536 nucleotides) under Drosophila melanogaster (fruit fly). Its description in RNAcentral is "eukaryotic LSU rRNA". It matches the Rfam family "Eukaryotic large subunit ribosomal RNA", at positions 552 to 1920 of the family's 3401-position model. The record is from RNAcentral. Lineage: Eukaryota; Metazoa; Arthropoda; Insecta; Diptera; Drosophilidae.
UCGGAAUUAUAUAAUGGCAUAAUUAUCAUUGAUUUUUGUGUUUAUUAUAUGCACUUGUAUGAUUAACAAUGCGAAAGAUUCAGGAUACCUUCGGGACCCGUCUUGAAACACGGACCAAGGAGUCUAACAUAUGUGCAAGUUAUUGGGAUAUAAACCUAAUAGCGUAAUUAACUUGACUAAUAAUGGGAUUAGUUUUUUAGCUAUUUAUAGCUAAUUAACACAAUCCCGGGGCGUUCUAUAUAGUUAUGUAUAAUGUAUAUUUAUAUUAUUUAUGCCUCUAACUGGAACGUACCUUGAGCAUAUAUGCUGUGACCCGAAAGAUGGUGAACUAUACUUGAUCAGGUUGAAGUCAGGGGAAACCCUGAUGGAAGACCGAAACAGUUCUGACGUGCAAAUCGAUUGUCAGAAUUGAGUAUAGGGGCGAAAGACCAAUCGAACCAUCUAGUAGCUGGUUCCUUCCGAAGUUUCCCUCAGGAUAGCUGGUGCAUUUUAAUAUUAUAUAAAAUAAUCUUAUCUGGUAAAGCGAAUGAUUAGAGGCCUUAGGGUCGAAACGAUCUUAACCUAUUCUCAAACUUUAAAUGGGUAAGAACCUUAACUUUCUUGAUAUGAAGUUCAAGGUUAUGAUAUAAUGUGCCCAGUGGGCCACUUUUGGUAAGCAGAACUGGCGCUGUGGGAUGAACCAAACGUAAUGUUACGGUGCCCAAAUUAACAACUCAUGCAGAUACCAUGAAAGGCGUUGGUUGCUUAAAACAGCAGGACGGUGAUCAUGGAAGUCGAAAUCCGCUAAGGAGUGUGUAACAACUCACCUGCCGAAGCAACUAGCCCUUAAAAUGGAUGGCGCUUAAGUUGUAUACCUAUACAUUACCGCUAAAGUAGAUGAUUUAUAUUACUUGUGAUAUAAAUUUUGAAACUUUAGUGAGUAGGAAGGUACAAUGGUAUGCGUAGAAGUGUUUGGCGUAAGCCUGCAUGGAGCUGCCAUUGGUACAGAUCUUGGUGGUAGUAGCAAAUAAUCGAAUGAGACCUUGGAGGACUGAAGUGGAGAAGGGUUUCGUGUGAACAGUGGUUGAUCACGAGUUAGUCGGUCCUAAGUUCAAGGCGAAAGCCGAAAAUUUUCAAGUAAAACAAAAAUGCCUAACUAUAUAAACAAAGCGAAUUAUAAUACACUUGAAUAAUUUUGAACGAAAGGGAAUACGGUUCCAAUUCCGUAACCUGUUGAGUAUCCGUUUGUUAUUAAAUAUGGGCCUCGUGCUCAUCCUGGCAACAGGAACGACCAUAAAGAAGCCGUCGAGAGAUAUCGGAAGAGUUUUCUUUUCUGUUUUAUAGCCGUACUACCAUGGAAGUCUUUCGCAGAGAGAUAUGGUAGAUGGGCUAGAAGAGCAUGACAUAUACUGUUGUGUCGAUAUUUUCUCCUCGGACCUUGAAAAUUUAUGGUGGGGACACGCAAACUUCUCAACAGGCCGUACCAAUAUCCGCAGCUGGUCUCCAAGGUGAAGAGUCUCUAGUCGAUAGAAUAAUGUAGGUAAGGGAAGUCGGCAA